Molecule: ribosomal RNA, 288 nt
Filed under: uncultured bacterium
Lineage: Bacteria
Description: partial 16S ribosomal RNA
Rfam family: Bacterial small subunit ribosomal RNA
Source: RNAcentral
GGUACCUGCAGAAAAGCACCGGCUAACUACGUGCCAGCAGCCGCGGUAAUACGUAGGGUGCAAGCGUUGUCCGGAAUUAUUGGGCGUAAAGAGCUCGUAGGCGGUUUGUCGCGUCUGCUGUGAAAUCCCGAGGCUCAACCUCGGGCUUGCAGUGGGUACGGGCAGACUAGAGUGCGGUAGGGGAGAUUGGAAUUCCUGGUGUAGCGGUGGAAUGCGCAGAUAUCAGGAGGAACACCGAUGGCGAAGGCGGCUUACUGGACGGUAACUGACGUUGAGGCUCGAAAGCGU